GUGCUCACUAUUGCAGCACAUAUACUAAAACCAGAAUGAUAGAGAGAAGACUGGCAUAGCCCCUGAACACAGAUAACAUCCAAAUUUGUGAAGCAUUCCAUAUUUCU
RNAcentral lists this small nuclear RNA (107 nucleotides) under Dasypus novemcinctus (nine-banded armadillo). Lineage: Eukaryota; Metazoa; Chordata; Mammalia; Cingulata; Dasypodidae. The record is from RNAcentral.